RNAcentral lists this ribosomal RNA (388 nucleotides) under uncultured bacterium. Its description in RNAcentral is "bacterial SSU rRNA". It matches the Rfam family "Bacterial small subunit ribosomal RNA", at positions 28 to 418 of the family's 1533-position model. The record is from RNAcentral.
GACGAACGCUGGCGGCGUGCUUAACACAUGCAAGUCGAGCGGUAAGGCCCUUUCGGGGGUACACGAGCGGCGAACGGGUGAGUAACACGUGGGUGACCUGCCUUUAGCUCUGGGAUAAGCCUGGGAAACCGGGUCUAAUACCGGAUAUGACUCCGCGGCGCAUGUUGUGGGGUGGAAAGCCUUGUGCGGCUGAGGAUGGGCCCGCGGCCUAUCAGCUUGUUGGUGGGGUGAUGGCCACCAAGGCGACGACGGGUAGCCGGCCUGAGAGGGCGACCGGCCACACUGGGACUGAGACACGGCCCAGACUCCUACGGGAGGCAGCAGUGGGGAAUCUUGCGCAAUGGGCGAAAGCCUGACGCAGCGACGCCGCGUGAGGGAUGACGGCCUC